RNAcentral lists this ribosomal RNA (519 nucleotides) under Chaetomium sp. OY33207. RNAcentral describes it as "eukaryotic LSU rRNA". The stretch from base 161 to 314 matches the Rfam family "5.8S ribosomal RNA". The record is from RNAcentral. Lineage: Eukaryota; Fungi; Ascomycota; Sordariomycetes; Sordariales; Chaetomiaceae.
UCCCUAAACCAUUGUGAACGUUACCUAAACCGUUGCUUCGGCGGGCGGCCCCGGGGUUUACCCCCGGGCGCCCCUGGGCCCCACCGCGGGCGCCCGCCGGAGGUCACCAAACUCUUGAUAAUUUAUGGCCUCUCUGAGUCUUCUGUACUGAAUAAGUCAAAACUUUCAACAACGGAUCUCUUGGUUCUGGCAUCGAUGAAGAACGCAGCGAAAUGCGAUAAGUAAUGUGAAUUGCAGAAUUCAGUGAAUCAUCGAAUCUUUGAACGCACAUUGCGCCCGCCAGUAUUCUGGCGGGCAUGCCUGUUCGAGCGUCAUUUCAACCAUCAAGCCCCGGGCUUGUGUUGGGGACCUGCGGCUGCCGCAGGCCCUGAAAAGCAGUGGCGGGCUCGCUGUCACACCGAGCGUAGUAGCAUAUAUCUCGCUCUGGGCGUGCUGCGGGUUCCGGCCGUUAAACCACCUUUUAACCCAAGGUUGACCUCGGAUCAGGUAGGAAGACCCGCUGAACUUAAGCAUAUCAAU